RNAcentral lists this microRNA (22 nucleotides) under Rattus norvegicus (Norway rat). RNAcentral describes it as "rno-miR-192-3p". Its record names the gene rno-miR-192-3p. The record is from miRBase by way of RNAcentral. Lineage: Eukaryota; Metazoa; Chordata; Mammalia; Rodentia; Muridae.
CUGCCAGUUCCAUAGGUCACAG